This 73-nucleotide transfer RNA is filed under the name Camelus bactrianus (Bactrian camel). It matches the Rfam family "tRNA". Rfam says of the family: Transfer RNA (tRNA) molecules are approximately 80 nucleotides in length. Their secondary structure includes four short double-helical elements and three loops (D, anti-codon, and T loops). Further hydrogen bonds mediate the characteristic L-shaped molecular structure. tRNAs have two regions of fundamental functional importance: the anti-codon, which is responsible for specific mRNA codon recognition, and the 3' end, to which the tRNAs corresponding amino acid is attached (by aminoacyl-tRNA synthetases). tRNAs cope with the degeneracy of the genetic code in two manners: having more than one tRNA (with a specific anti-codon) for a particular amino acid; and 'wobble' base-pairing, i.e. permitting non-standard base-pairing at the 3rd anti-codon position. RNAcentral also lists the same sequence under 2 other names. The record is from Rfam by way of RNAcentral. Lineage: Eukaryota; Metazoa; Chordata; Mammalia; Artiodactyla; Camelidae.
GAGGGUAUAGCUCAAAUGGUAGAGCACAUGCCUAGCAUGCAUGAGGCCAUGGGUUCAAUUCCUAGUACCUCCU